Molecule: non-coding RNA, 706 nt
Organism: Paramuricea clavata
Lineage: Eukaryota; Metazoa; Cnidaria; Anthozoa; Malacalcyonacea; Plexauridae
Source: the annotation of a GenBank genome assembly
CACUCCAAAUUAGACUUUAGUUUCCCGUCCUCCGCCCGCGUCUCCUAGAACUGGCCGCAUGAUUUGUCCAUUAUUGCGAAGUUGUUUCCAUUAUUUGACUUUUGUGACAAACAAUUACGAAAAACCACAGUUUUCAAAUAAUCUAUCGUUCAAGAAAUACAUAUUUAUGAUACAACACGUAAAAAUCGAAAUAAAAUUCUUGAAACUUUUAUCAAAGAGGACAAAGAGCGUGAAUUUUUUUCCGUUUUCACUACGAACUGCUGAGCUACACACUCCCGUUGCAAGUUUUGAUUUUUGAACGUCAAAACCGAUAAGGUUAAUGUCCUGGCUUUCAUUUCUGCAUAAAAAAAACUCUAAAACAUUGCGUAGAAACGUGGCUGAAUGGAUAUUUAAAACCCGUAUCUAUUUCAUGAAAUAAUGGGCCGUGUUUCAACUUUCAGACACCAUAAUGGAUAAUGGAAAUGGACCGCCCGCCCGCGUGUAAUUUGAAAUAAGGGCUGGACGGGAAACUAAAGUCUAAUUUGGAGUGGCCUUUCCGUUUUUAUAUCAAUUUUUUAAAUAAGUUAGGGUUAGGUUAGGGUUAUGGUUAGGUUAGGGUUGGGGUUAGGGUUAAGUUUAAUAUUAGGGUUAGAGUUUAGUUUUGCGUUAGGAUGGUUUUUUCUACGUUAUUAAAACGGAAAUCUUAUUUUGAAGUAUACUAUCUAGC